GCCUCUAAAAGCUCUGUCCCAAUAUUAUUUUUCAUGCUCGUAAUUAAUUAUCUAAAUCUAAAAAAUAAAAAGAAAGAAAAUGAGCUAGACAGCCCAGUAAGUAACAAAUAUUUUAACUAGAUAUUUCAGAUAUUUAUAUAAUUUUCAAGAACAAUGCUAUGAAUAAACAUAAAAAUAUAUUUCAUACUGAUUCAAUGCAAAUCUAAUCUUUUCAAAUAUUCACAUA
Molecule: long non-coding RNA, 226 nt
Filed under: Elaeis guineensis (African oil palm)
Lineage: Eukaryota; Viridiplantae; Streptophyta; Magnoliopsida; Arecales; Arecaceae
Description: long non-coding RNA (EGUI_LNC074180)
Source: RNAcentral